GCUCCCCCUCGCGUCCGCCGACUUCUCUCUCUUCCAGAACGCCGUCGCCGUCUACAUCGCCACCGGAAGCGCCAUCUCCAGCUCCACCUAUAAGCCGACCGCUCCGCUUCUCUCUCUCCGUCGCGUCCCCGAUCUCCGCACCCAUUGCCACGACCCUUCUCUCCACGGAAUCGUUCUUGGAAUGGAGGAUGCGGUGGAAGAGACCGGAUCUCCCGGUCACCCGGCUGUUCUUCGCAUCACGCCUCUCCCAGAUGGACGGAUGAGAUGCAUCUUGAAGUGAUUAGAUCAAAGGAACGAGGAGGAUGGGCAGACGGAGGGCUUCGCAGUUGCUUGCAGGGUAUCGACAAUUUCUCCUCGGGCGACCAACCCCAUCCUCCCAUGAACAAUCCAUUUCAGGAUCCUAUUGGAAGCUGAAUACUUGGAGACCUUGUUGUAUGUUCCGAGUUUCUGUUGGAACACCUCAAGCUUCUAACUAUCUAAAUCUAGGCAAAACAUAUGCAAUCAAGCAGAGAUCAUUUGGUUCUGCGGCCACUGAUAUUCCAAGGAAUCCAGCAUUUUCAAACUUGAAUGCUGAUGAUAUUAGCUAUUUCAGAACUAUACUUGGUGAAAGGAAUGUUGUUGAGGAUGAAGAUAGAUUAUCAGCUGCAAAUGUGGACUGGAUGCGGAAAUACCAAGGCUCAAGCAAGCUCUUACUCUUACCAAAAAGCAGCCAAGAGGUGUCUAAGAUUCUUCACCACUGCAAUUCAAGAAAAUUGGCAGUUGUCCCCCAAGGAGGCAACACAGGUCUUGUAGGAGGAAGUGUACCUGUUCACGAUGAGGUAAUUAUAAAUCUUGCAUUGAUGGACAAGAUAGUCUCCCUCGACAAGAUCAAUGGUAUUCUUGUUUGUGAAGGGGGAUGCAUACUGGAGAAUCUAAGCUCAUUCUUAGAAAAUGAAGGAUUUAUUAUGCCACUUGACUUGGGGGCAAAAGGAAGCUGCCAAAUUGGUGGAAACAUCUCAACCAAUGCCGGUGGCUUACGCUUUGUACGUUAUGGGUCACUUCAUGGAACUAUUCUUGGCCUUGAAGUUGUAUUAGCUAAUGGAACUAUUCUUGACAUGCUUGGCACUUUACGCAAGGACAAUACUGGAUAUGAUUUGAAACACUUGUUUAUUGGAAGUGAAGGUUCUCUAGGGAUUGUGACCAAGGUUUCUAUUCUUACACCACCCAAGCUAAUGUCAAUGAAUCUUGCAUUUCUUGCUUGUAAAGAUUUUACAAGUUGUCAGAAAUUACUACUGGAAGCUAAGCGAGCACUGGGCGGGGUUCUUUCUGCAUUUGAAUUUAUGGAUAGCCAUUCAAUGGAUUUGGUUCUGUCUCACUUGGAUGGUGUUCGCAGUCCUUUACCAUCCUCCUUGUAUAACUUCUAUAUUCUUGUUGAGACAACUGGUAGUGAUGAAACAUAUGAUAAAACAAAACUUGAAGCUUUUUUGUUACGAUCAAUGGAAGAAGGUCUCAUACUAGAUGGUGUUGUAGCUCAAGAUAUUAACCAAUCAUCCUCAUUUUGGCGAAUUCGUGAGGGUAUAUCAGAAGCAUCAGUUAAGGUUGGGGCUGUCUACAAAUAUGACUUAUCAUUACCCAUUGACCAAUUCUAUGGUAUCGUCGAAGAAAUGCGCAACAGGCUUGGUGAGGCGGCCAAGGUAGUUGGAUACGGUCACCUUGGGGAUGGUAACUUGCACUUGAAUAUCAUGACAACUCGAUAUGAUAGUGAUAUCCUUGCUCAAAUUGAACCUUACGUGUAUGAGUGGACCUCAAAACACAAGGGAAGUAUCAGUGCUGAGCAUGGAUUAGGGUUAAUGAAAGCAAAUAAGAUCCAUUACAGCAAGUCUCCAGAGACUGUGCAACUAAUGGUUGAUAUCAAGAAAAUGUUAGAUCCCAAUCUAAUAUUAAACCCAUACAAAGUUCUACCUCAGUCAUGCUUCAAUUGAACAGUGGUAUGGUACUUAAAAGGCAAAAUGUGUCCAGUGAAAUCAAUCAGAUCUUGAGGUGUAGAUUAUGUUUGUUCACUUGUUACCAGAAGACUUACAUAAAUGAAAAUAUUAGAUCUCUUUGCAAUUUUCAAUUAGUGGUGCCCCCAAGAGCAACAAAGCAUCAAAAUCAUAAAGGUGGUGGUCAUCGAUCAACUUCAAAGAGCAAAGGAAGCAUGAAACUGUGAGUUACAAUGAAGUUGUAAAACAUCUAGCUAUUCCUUUAAAUCAUUAAACUGAAUUUUUACUUUUCCAUUGCGUAUGACACCAAUAAAUUAAUCUCAAUUAUUUUACUUCAA
This is an RNA transcript of Musa acuminata AAA Group (dessert banana), 2299 nucleotides long. It is a transcript of the gene named probable D-2-hydroxyglutarate dehydrogenase, mitochondrial, with no coding region annotated. The transcript has 17 exons. Lineage: Eukaryota; Viridiplantae; Streptophyta; Magnoliopsida; Zingiberales; Musaceae. The record is from RefSeq and is a predicted model, not a curated record.